ACGAACUCUGGUAUUGAUUGGUGCUUGCAUCAUGAUUUACAUUUGAGUGAGUGGCGAACUGGUGAGUAACACGUGGGAAACCUGCCCAGAAGCGGGGGAUAACACCUGGAAACAGAUGCUAAUACCGCAUAACAACUUGGACCGCAUGGUCCGAGNUUGAAAGAUGGCUUCGGCUAUCACUUNUGGAUGGUCCCGCGGCGUAUUAGCUAGAUGGUGAGGUAACGGCUCACCAUGGCAAUGAUACGUAGCCGACCUGAGAGGGUAAUCGGCCACAUUGGGACUGAGACACGGCCCAAACUCCUACGGGAGGCAGCAGUAGGGAAUCUUCCACAAUGGACGAAAGUCUGAUGGAGCAACGCCGCGUGAGUGAAGAAGGGUUUCGGCUCGUAAAACUCUGUUGUUAAAGAAGAACAUAUCUGAGAGUAACUGUUCAGGUAUUGACGGUAUUUAACCAGAAAGCCACGGCUAACUACGUGCCAGCAGCCGCGGUAAUACGUAGGUGGCAAGCGUUGUCCGGAUUUAUUGGGCGUAAAGCGAGCGCAGGCGGUUUUUUAAGUCUGAUGUGAAAGCCUUCGGCUCAACCGAAGAAGUGCAUCGGAAACUGGGAAACUUGAGUGCAGAAGAGGACAGUGGAACUCCAUGUGUAGCGGUGAAAUGCGUAGAUAUAUGGAAGAACACCAGUGGCGAAGGCGGCUGUCUGGUCUGUAACUGACGCUGAGGCUCGAAAGUAUGGGUAGCAAACAGGAUUAGAUACCCUGGUAGUCCAUACCGUAAACGAUGAAUGCUAAGUGUUGGAGGGUUUCCGCCCUUCAGUGCUGCAGCUAACGCAUUAAGCAUUCCGCCUGGGGAGUACGGCCGCAAGGCUGAAACUCAAAGGAAUUGACGGGGGCCCGCACAAGCGGUGGAGCAUGUGGUUUAAUUCGAAGCUACGCGAAGAACCUUACCAGGUCUUGACUA
This 957-nucleotide ribosomal RNA is filed under the name Lactiplantibacillus plantarum. Its description in RNAcentral is "bacterial SSU rRNA". It matches the Rfam family "Bacterial small subunit ribosomal RNA", at positions 66 to 987 of the family's 1533-position model. The record is from RNAcentral. Lineage: Bacteria; Bacillati; Bacillota; Bacilli; Lactobacillales; Lactobacillaceae.